AAUGAACGUUGGCGGCGUGGAUUAGGCAUGCAAGUCGCGCGAGAAAUUUUCUUCGGAGAAUGGAAAGCGGCGGAAGGGAGAGGAUAAGGUAGAAAUCUACCCUCGGGACGGGGAUAGCUGCGGGAAACUGCUGGUAAUACCCGAUAAUAUCUUUGGAUCAAAGGUGUGAUUCCGCCUGAGGAUGAGUCUACUUCCUAUUAGCUUGGUGGCAGGGUAAUGGCCUAGCAAGGCAACGAUGGGUAGCGGGUGUGAGAGCAGGACCCGCCGUACUGGGACUGAGAACUGACCAGCAACCUACGGGUGGCUGCAGUCGAGAAUCUUCGGCAAUGGGCGCAAGCCUGACCGAGCGACGCCGCGUGCGGGAUGAAGGCCUUCGGGUUGUAAACCGCUGUCGUAGAGGAGCAAAUGCAUGGGGGUUCUCCCCUGUGCUUGAGUGAUUCUAGGAGGAAGGGGAGGCUAAGCUCGUGCCAGCAGCCGCGGUAA
This 483-nucleotide ribosomal RNA is filed under the name uncultured bacterium. Its description in RNAcentral is "partial 16S ribosomal RNA". It matches the Rfam family "Bacterial small subunit ribosomal RNA", at positions 29 to 523 of the family's 1533-position model. The record is from RNAcentral.